This 974-nucleotide non-coding RNA is filed under the name Eudromia elegans (elegant crested-tinamou). RNAcentral's name for it is "12S ribosomal RNA". It matches the Rfam family "Bacterial small subunit ribosomal RNA". Lineage: Eukaryota; Metazoa; Chordata; Aves; Tinamiformes; Tinamidae. The record is from RNAcentral.
AAAAGACUUAGUCCUAACCUUACCAUUAGUUAUCACUAAACAUAUACAUGCAAGUAUCUGCGUCCCAGUGUAAAUGCCCCAUUAACCUCCUCAGGUAAAAGGAGCAGGUAUCAGGCACACCUCAAAGUAGCCCAAGACGCCUUGCUCAGCCACACCCCCACGGGUUUUCAGCAGUAAUUAACUUUAAGCUAUGAGUGAAAACUUGACUUAGUUAUAGUGGUAUAGGGCCGGUAAAUCUUGUGCCAGCCACCGCGGUCAUACAAGAGGCUCAAAUUAAUGGUCCUCGGCGUAAAGUGUGGAGACAUACUAUCCCUCGUAACUAGGACUAAUAUACAUCCAAGCUGUCAUAAGCCCACAAUGUACCCAAAACCCUCAUAAAAAUGGUCCUAGCCCAUAAGAUCUAUUUUACCCACGAAAGCUAUGAAACAAACUGGGAUUAGAUACCCCACUAUGCUUAGCCCUAAAUCUAGAUACUUAAACUACCCAAGUAUCCGCCUGAGAAUUACGAGCACCAACGCUUAAAACUCUAAGGACUUGGCGGUGCCCUAAACCCACCUAGAGGAGCCUGUUCUAUAAUCGAUACUCCACGAUAUACCCGACCAUCUCUAGCCCCCUCAGCCUACAUACCGCCGUCGCCAGCCCGCCUAAUGAAAGCCACACAGCGAGCAUAACAGCCCCCCGCUAAUAAGACAGGUCAAGGUAUAGCACAUGAGAUGGCAGCAAUGGGCUACAUUUUCUAACCUAGAACAACCUUUACUUAUCUUUACGGAAGAGGUAAUGAAACCCCCUCGGAAGGCGGAUUUAGCAGUAAACUGGAACUAGAAAGUCUACUUUAAACUGGCUCUAGGGCACGUACAUACCGCCCGUCACCCUCCUCAUAAGCAACUCCUGUUAUAUAUAAUAAUUAAUUUUGAAGCUGAAGAGGAGGUAAGUCGUAACAAGGUAAGUGUACCGGAAGGUGCACUUAGCAUAUC